UUGGCGAGAGACCGAUAGCAAACAAGUACCGCGAGGGAAAGAUGAAAAGGACUUUGAAAAGAGAGUCAAAGAGUGCUUGAAAUUGUCGGGAGGGAAGCGAAUGGGGGCUGGCGAUGCGCCCCGGUCGGAUGUGGAACGGUGCAAUGCCGGUCCGCCAAUCGACUCGGGGUGUGGAUCGGUGCGGAUUGGGACGGAGGCCAAAGCCCNGGAAGUUGUUAAGCCUGUGGAGACGCCUUCGCCUUGAUCGUGGCUGGCAGCGUGCGCCCUUGGCGUGCUUCGGCAUCUGCACGCUCCAGG
RNAcentral lists this ribosomal RNA (297 nucleotides) under Pyrola rotundifolia. RNAcentral describes it as "partial 28S ribosomal RNA". It matches the Rfam family "Eukaryotic large subunit ribosomal RNA", at positions 323 to 622 of the family's 3401-position model. Lineage: Eukaryota; Viridiplantae; Streptophyta; Magnoliopsida; Ericales; Ericaceae. The record is from RNAcentral.